Molecule: long non-coding RNA, 6881 nt
Filed under: Citrus sinensis (sweet orange)
Lineage: Eukaryota; Viridiplantae; Streptophyta; Magnoliopsida; Sapindales; Rutaceae
Description: long non-coding RNA (CSIN_LNC004123)
Source: RNAcentral
CCUUCACACAUUGUAAUGGGAUACUCAUUUAGGCAAGACGCUUUGCAUGGGAGGACACUCAUUUAGCCCAAUGGGCAAGCGAGACUUAGAUACAACCACUGCAUUCCCUGGUUUCGGGUGCUUUACAUCAAAGAGGUAUGAAAAACAUUUCUCACGAAUCUUACUAUCUUGUUUACUUUUUAUCAGAUUCAUCCACACCUAUGUCUCCCUUCUACUUACGAAGGUAGAGGAAUCGAAUUCACACAAACCAAUCAUCAUGUGGCAUGAAUAAGUAUUACUUCAAACCUAAUAAUAGUGCUCGUCAAAAUUUGACUUCCCAGGUGGAAAUUCUUUCUGCAGUAUGUAUAUUAUUAAACAUGUAAAAUCAACAUUCUGGGCUGGUCUUCAAUGAAGCCCAGUAUUUCUCUCCAUUGUCACUUAGUCUAGACAUAAAUUUUAGCUUCUGGUUACUCUUCAAAUUCAAGUAAUCAACCUGUGAAUCAAGAUGGAAAUCAUAAAAAAGUUAUAAGACGAACACAAAAAUGUCAAGAAAAAAAUACAAUCAAUUUUUUUUCCUCCUUUCCUGGGAAAAUGAAAACUGAAGUAGUUGGUUCUUAAACCUGAUCUGGAUCAAGAAUCAGCACGCAAAAUGCAUCAACUGGGCCUGCACAAGGAUCUAGAGAAAACUCCUUGGGUUGUUCAUUAACACUGGGGCAACCUUGCUCAGGAUCCAAGUACUGCAAUCGCGCUUUCAUGGAACAGCCAAACCAUGAUUUCUCUCUUAUCUGCAUAAUAAAUGUAAAGGAAAUGAGGAGAACAUACAGUAUAUCUACCAGAAUUAGCACCAUAGAACGCAAUUUAAUAGCCAAGUCCUCUGAAAGUCAGGUUCUAAAAAUUGGGGUGUGUUAUUGUGUGCACAUUAGAAGAAAAGAUCCAACAUCACCUGCAGUUUUUCAGGAUCAGAGUUGGACCCAUCAAUAACAUCAACUCUUCCAUUGAUCCGAAACUGAUCCCAAGAUUCAGUAAAGUACCAGCAUAUCUGAUGCAUCAUAUAUACAGUUAAAAAUAAGCUUAAGAGAACGAGAUAACGAAACCAGAAAAAAUAUACAUGUAAAGCUCAAAAAGUGAUUACCUCAGAAAAUGGACAAGAUUUAAGCUCCUCAAUCUGCAUAUUAUUAAUUUUAUUCAGGUAAAUCAAGCACUUACAUGUGUGUGUGUGUAUUAAACAACUAUACAAACUGAAUAAAAUUGAUAAAAAUUGAUUUUGAAAAAUAAAGAACCUUUCGACUUCGUGUAUCAGAAUUGAUCUGUAUCUUGUCAGUGUUGUCUUGAAAUCCUCUAAAAACCCAACAAAUUACUCGCAUCUCAUUAACAUCUUCGGGAAAAAAAAAUUAAGUUCUUAAAUAAAAAUUUUCACUUGAAGAGGGAGAGAGUACCGGAAAACGACAGUGCGAUUCGAAGGCCUGCCGUUGGUUCCAACUGUUGCCUAAAAACAAGGUGGCAAUUCUUAAAUUAUGCAAGUCGAGUGAAAAGUAUAGUUAUAAUUAGUAAUUACGAACGUACAAGCUGAAAGUAAAUAGAGUGCUUGAGGUGAGACUGGGACUCCAAUGCCUGUAGAAGAAGCUGCUUCCAUGGCGCUGUUACUGGCGUUCCCAUUUCUGUCCUUUUUUGGUGGUCGUUUCUUUCAGUUUCAGCUUUGCACUUUCGGCUUCUGGCUUACUGUUUUCGUUUGUCGAAACUCGUAGGUUCUCGGGGUCACUUGUUUUUGGACCUUCAUAAGAAUCAAGCCACUCAGGCCAUUAGUCCGUAGCUACCCAGCCCAUAAGGCCCAAAUAUCCAGAAACUAAGUUGCUUUGCUGGGCUUGGAAGUAGUAUUAUCUUAUUGAGUGGGACUAUUGGCACCCCUCAAUAACUCUAAUAAAACCCUUUUUGUUUAAAGCACCUGCAAUGAAAAUUAAAAUAACAUAAUCACUAAUAUCACCCACGGAUUAAUUUCAUAAAUGACCUUACCUAUUUCUUCCUAAGACCUAAAAGACUUUUAUGGAAAGAUAACAUAAGACCGCAAAAUUACUCAAUUUAGUGUAUUAUUAUAGAUUUUUUAUCAAAAUAAAGAAACUAGUGACUCUUCCAUGGCGAAUAAAUAAGUUUUCUAAAAGAAGCUAUUAUGAUUUAGACAACAAGAUAACUAAUGGCGAAGUCAGAACUACAGCUGCAAUUAAGCUUUAAACCCUUUAAAUUAUUAUAUUUCUUAAGAAAUAAUUAAGAUUUUUUUUCCUUUCGUUGAUAGCCAUUAAACUGAUUAUUGAAUGAUUUUGUACAUAUUUUAAACCUAAAAGUGCAAGUUAACACUUGUGAAACUCACUAGUCAAGUGCGUAUAUAAAAUAGAAAAAAUUUAUUUUGAACUUCUCAAUAAAACUAAAACUUAAAUAAUUUAUUUCAUCAGAAGUUAUUUGUAUACACGAUCCUUAAUUUAGCAUUUCGAAUAAAGAAUUCAUUGUAGGUUUGCAGCAAAAAUGCAAACAACAAGCAAUGGUAACGAUAAAUGCAGAGUGAGAGAAAAAGAGAGAGAAAUCUGCAGUUUGAGUUGAGAAAAAAGAUUGGUUUUUUUGUCAUUUUAUGAGAGGUUAAAAUUGUAAACACACAAGAGGGGUUUCGAAAGAGUUUUCAAGGGGUCCUAAUAGCAUCACUCUAUCUUAUUAUAAUAUUUCCCUCUUACGUCAUUAUUAGUUUGUGUUUAUAAAUUACGAAUUGGCAAUCCACGGCUACAAUCUGAAUUUCCUUUCUUUUCAAUUUUUUUAGUCAUUGCCAUACAAUUUAACUUACAAAUGUAAUUAAACAAACAUUCGUCACCUGAAAUCAUUGAUUUGCCCAUCAUUGUCUCCAAGCUCCCGAAGCCGUUCUGUGAUUCUGACCCUUAAGUCUUAAGGCAAAGUUUAGUUCCUGAAGAAGUGAAGAAAAGUAUAAUCAAAAUUAUUUUUUUGGUGUGUUUCCUCUCCUGGAAAGAGCUGAAGUGCUCCCGGUGUGUUUGAAAUAUGUUAAAAUUUUGUUUCAUUUGUCGGCAAUGCAACUUAGCUAAGGUAGUGUUUACUUUUUGGAGUGAGAGUAUGGAGUGUAGAUUCCUCCUACUCCAGUGUUUACGUACCUUAAAAAAUGGGAGAGUGGGAGUGGGAAUCCGUGGGUCCUACUCAAUUUUGGAGUGGGGAGUGAGAUUCUCACUCCCAUGAGGGGAGGUGGGAGUGGGAAUCCACUCCCCCCUCUUCCCAUUUUAUCUCUAUAAUUAAAUAAAUAAAUAAUAUUUAAUAAAAUAAAUAAUAUCAUAUUUAUUAAAAAUAAUAAUUAUAUCAUAUUUAUUUUAUUAAAUUUAAUAAAAUAAAAAUAAAUAAAUAUGAUAUUUAAAUUAAUAAUAUUAAACAUUAAUUUUAAUAAAUAUUAAUUAAUUAUUUAAUUAAUAAUAAUAAAUAUUUUAUUCUAAAAAAAUAUUAAUGAUUUCAUUUGUGUUGCUAUUAUUAAUAAUUUUUAUUCACAUAAUUUAAAUUAAAAUUAAUAAAAAAUUAUAAUUUACAUAAUUAAGAAUAUUAGUAAUUAUUAUUAAUUUAGAAAUAUAAUAAAAUAUUUAUUUUAUUUUCCAAAUAUUUUUUAUUAAUUUUUUAAUUACAAAUUAUAAUUCUGUACAUAAGGAUAAAAUUAUAAUUUAAAACAAUUUACUCCCAAUCCAAGACAAAGUAAACAAAUAAUUAGGAUUCUGAUUGACAAUCCAUACUUUCAUUUAGUCUAAGUAAACACCCUACUACCACUCCCACUCCACACUCCUAAUCCAAAGAUUCCCACUCCUCAGAAUUCCCACUCCAAUCUAAAAAGUAAACGCAGCAUAAAUGUAGAGGCCAGAGGGCUGCAUGUAACUCUUAUUAGAGUUUCCUUGUUUCGUUUCGUAACAAUUAGCGGCAUUAAUAUUGCUUGGAUCUUGGUACCUAAAAUUGAGAGUGUCAAAUCGAUUGUGUUAUCAACAUCAAUACUGCCGAUUAGGAAAUGGGGUGAUCACGAUGGGACAACGUUCAUAUAAACAUAUUUACAUGCUUGUGAAAAUAAGAUGAUUCCAUGGUCCUGCAUUAAUAGUAUGAAAAAAAGAAAUUUGAUUAAUCUACAUCCCUUGGUCUUAUACGUCACUCAAACCAUUUUGGGGAAAUCUACUUGAAGGUUUUAAAACUUUCACUUGUCCGAAUCAAAUGUUUAAAGAAGAAACAAAUAGAAAAUUAUAGGGAAAAUAUCCACCGUCCACCUGUUUUUUUUAACUUUAUAAAAAAUACACAAUUUUUUUUUUUUUACUGGAAUCCACCUAAACUUACGUUUUAUUUCACUUCUCCACUUCCGCUUGUUGCCCGUUAUAACAUUACUGAUGUCGUAGGGAUAAAUCGGUCAUUUCAGCAUAGCAGCCAAAAACGACGUCGUUUAUAAUCUAGGCUGUGUUCAUACCUCACACCCUUUGGUCAGAUGUGGCCAAAUCCUCGUUCAUUAAGACAACCUGUCUUGGUGGUGACCUUCAAAAGUCAAAUGUAAUAUAAUGUUUUCAUUUCAACACACCACAAGCACGACCUAGCGGCUGCUCCUGCUUUUGUCCCAUUCAACAUGCUAUUCCUUUGUUAACGUAAGUCCUGUGUCUACUUUACUGUUCCUUGGAAAUAAUUCUCCCCUCUCUUGAAGCCAAAGCGGAGGUUCAACUUUCAGUUCAUUGAGGUACCCUCUUCGGUCUUCUUCACAUUGGUUUCUUCUCUUUAUCUUGUUUUGUUCUGUUGUUUUGUUUCAUACUUGCUUCAGUCUAUUAAUUAAUUAAACCUGUUUAUUUUCUUUGUAUUGUGGUCCUGUUCAUGUAAUUGCUCCAGAAAUUUCUCAGUUGUUUAUUUAUUUAUCUAUCUGGUCUUUCUUCUUUGCUUUAUUUUAUUCUAUUUUAAUUUUAAUUUUUUUUUUUUUGGGGUAAAGCAAAGCAGUAGAGCCAACAUUGGUCUUUUUUUUGUUUUUUCCCCUCUCAAGAUCUCUCCUUCGCAACCAAAAAUUGACCCUUGUUGUCGGUUUAAAAUCCUAAAUGAAUGAAAACACUUGUUGAAGAAUUUUCUGGUUCCAUGAAGAAUCAUUUACAAUUCGAUCGUGGUUCAGUUUCAACAUAUUCGAACCGGAACCAUGUCGAUAAGUUUAAGCUGAAACAGAGCCGUGAACCGAUAGAUCCUCCUUUUGUUUUGGGGGCAAAAUAGUCAUUUGACUAAGAUUCCGUUAGUUUUCGUAACGGGCAGCAAACGGAAGUGGAGAAGCAAAACAAAACGUAAGUUUAGGUGGAUUCCAGCAAAAAAAAAAAAAUUGUGUAUUUUUGAUAAAGUUGGAAAAAACAAGUGGACGGUGAAUAUUUUCCCAAAAUUAUAUUUGUUUACCUCAAGAAUUCUGAAAAUAAUUUGUCGUCUUUGAUGAAUUCCACGAGUUGAAUUCGAGUGUGUACCUAUGAAAGGUAGUCCGAAACUUCAAAUUAGUUUCUGUUUUGUAGAAUUUUUAGUUAUGCAGAUAUUUGUUGAUUUUUUCUAAAUUAGCCAAAAGAUCUUUUCUCUCGAUCAUUUUAGCCUCAAUUUAUAGAUUGGGAGACGUGGAGUUGGUUGGAGAUUUCAUUUUGGAUCUAAAUCACUGCCAUCUAUCUCCUUUGUUUAAUUUAUAUCGUUAAAUAUGAUAAUUGUUUUUGUCUAUUUUUGAAUUUCUAAUAUGUAAUUAUGUUAGUAAUUAAGUGUUGCUUGUCAUUAAUAUUUUUAGGCCGGAUCAUUGUUAGUUUACUCCAGACUUUUCGAAUAAAUCAGCGUUAUUGAGUUCCAAUAUGAUGAGACCAAUGUAAGCCAUAUCUGUAUUGAUUUCUAAUCCAAAAUCAAUAUAAACCAUAUCUGAAUCACCAUAAUCCAUAUUCACACCAUAAUCCAUAUUCAUAUUGAUCUUUAAUUAGAUAUCAAUACAAGUUAUAUCGAUUAUUCGAACUAACAAUAUUUUUUGGACACGGUGUAAGAGGUUACAUUUUUAACACUUACAUUACUAAUUUUAUGUGAUCAUUGGCGAGAUAGCUAUUAUAUUGUCUAUCACAUAUUCUUAGGGUACGUUUUGAUUUUUAUUAGAUUGAUUGGAUUUGUUUACAUAACGAUCAUUUUACCGAGUAAUUACUUGUUACUUAUUUCAAAAUAAGAGCAUCCAUUUCCCUUGUUCAAUAAUUAUUUGGUUUGUGAGAAUGACACAAUUCUACAUUUAGUUUAUGUGAGAGACAAUUUUAAUUAAAGCUUUGUUAAUUGAUGUUGAGUUUUGAAUUUUACACAUCUUCGUUUCUUUUUUAUUUUUUUUUCUCAUUUUUUCCUUCUUUUUAUCCUGUUUAGGUAAUAUAAAUUGACCCACUAAAAAUAAGUUAAUUUAUGUUAGACAUUUAUAUCUGAGGGUUCUCUUUUAACUAUAAGAAUACAUAUAUAAUUCAUUCAAAAUUUAUCAAUGUAUAUAUCAUUAAUUCUAUCACACUUACGAAGUUUUGUAUUACGAAAUUAAGAUACAAGGUAAUUAUUUUAUCUAUUAUUUUAAUGUCACAUGAUAAUUUGCAUGAAUCUCGUUUGUGCCAAAUUUUGUGUGUGCACAUAUCAUUAUAGCUUGGCCUCAUAUGACGUUGAAGUUGCAUUAGGAUCCGUAAAAGGCAAAAAAGAACAGUUGGAGCAUGUGAAGACAUAGUUUUGGUUGGGGCAAAGUUUGAUAAGUGGGAAGAUAAAACUUCUAGAUACAUGACAAAGACAUGUUUUCAUUGUUGUUUUGUUUAGCUAAAAAUGUAACAAGUCCAAGUGGCGUUUAUUAAUGGAAAAUAACGUAAAAUAAGGUGUUCACCAUUUAUUUAUAAAUUCUGUAUUUU